This 220-nucleotide ribosomal RNA is filed under the name uncultured bacterium. Its description in RNAcentral is "partial 16S ribosomal RNA". It matches the Rfam family "Bacterial small subunit ribosomal RNA", at positions 99 to 334 of the family's 1533-position model. The record is from RNAcentral.
CGGACGGGUGAGUAACGCGUAGGUAUCUGUCCAUGGGUGGGGGAUAACGGCGGGAAACUGCUGCUAAUACCGCAUGACACCUGAGGGUCAAAGGCGCAAGUCGCCUGUGGAGGAGCCUGCGUCCGAUUAGCUAGUUGGUGGGGUAACGGCCUACCAAGGCGACGAUCGGUAGCUGGUCUGAGAGGAUGAUCAGCCACACUGGGACUGAGACACGGCCCAG